RNAcentral lists this long non-coding RNA (233 nucleotides) under Elaeis guineensis (African oil palm). RNAcentral describes it as "long non-coding RNA (EGUI_LNC048241)". Lineage: Eukaryota; Viridiplantae; Streptophyta; Magnoliopsida; Arecales; Arecaceae. The record is from RNAcentral.
GGUGCAAUCUGGUUCCUAUAAUGAAUAUGCUACAGCCAACAUACACCUCAAGGUUUCGAAUGGCUAGGAGACCGAGUUAUGGUGUAGCCAAACUAUAACACACUCAAGGUGAACUGUUGAGUACCUCAAGUCAAAGAACUAGACACACAGCUGCAGCAUCGAGCUAGUCAUCGAUGAGAAGGUAGACUUCCUUAUAACUGCUCGAGGUGGUCACGCUCAGUAUUCUCAUUCUC